CCCUUAGAUGUUCUGGGCCGCACGCGCGCUACAAUGAUGAAUUCAACGAGUUUAUAACCUUGGUUGAAAAGCCUGGGUAAUCUUUUGAACUUUCGUCGUGAUGGGGCUAGACCCUUGCAAUUAUUGGUCUCCAACGAGGAAUUCCCAGUAAGCGCAAGUCAUCAGCUUGCGUUGAUUACGUCCCUGCCCUUUGUACACACCGCCCGUCGCUACUACCGAUUGAAUGGUUUAGUGAGAUCCUUGGAUCGGCCCUGUCGCGGCUGGCAACGGCCGCGUCGGCGCGUCGAGAAGACGAUCAAACUUGAUCAUUUAGAGGAAGUAAAAGUCGUAACA
RNAcentral lists this ribosomal RNA (333 nucleotides) under uncultured eukaryote. RNAcentral describes it as "partial 18S ribosomal RNA". It matches the Rfam family "Eukaryotic small subunit ribosomal RNA", at positions 1470 to 1796 of the family's 1831-position model. The record is from RNAcentral.